GACGAACGCUGGCGGCGUGCUUAACACAUGCAAGUCGAACGGAAAGGCCCUGCGUUUGUGGGGUGCUCGAGUGGCGAACGGGUGAGUAACACGUGAGUAACCUGCCCUUGACUUUGUGAUAACUUCAGGAAACUGGGGCUAAUACCGGAUAGGAGCUCCUGCUGCAUGGUGGGGGUUGGAAAGUUUCGGCGGUUGGGGAUGGACUCGCGGCUUAUCAGCUUGUUGGUGGGGUAGUGGCUUACCAAGGCUUUGACGGGUAGCCGGCCUGAGAGGGUGGACGGCCACAUUGGGACUGAGAUACGGACCAGACUCCUACGGGAGGCAGCAGUGGGGAAUAUUGCACAAUGGGCGGAAGCCUGAUGCAGCAACGCCGCGUGCGGGAUGACGGCUUUCGGGUUGUAAACCGCUUUCGCCUGUGACGAAGAGUGAGUGACGGUAAUGGGUAAAGAAGCACCGGCUAACUACGUG
RNAcentral lists this ribosomal RNA (468 nucleotides) under uncultured bacterium. Its description in RNAcentral is "partial 16S ribosomal RNA". It matches the Rfam family "Bacterial small subunit ribosomal RNA", at positions 28 to 507 of the family's 1533-position model. The record is from RNAcentral.